GAUGAACGCUGGCGGCGUGCCUAAUACAUGCAAGUCGAGCGAACGGACGAGAAGCUUGCUUCUCUGAAGUUAGCGGCGGACGGGUGAGUAACACGUGGAUAACCUACCUAUAAGACUGGGAUAACUUCGGGAAACCGUAGCUAAUACCGGAUAAUAUUUUGAACCGCAUGGUUCAAAAGUGAAAGACGGUCUUGCUGUCACUUAUAGAUGGAUCCACGCUGCAUUAGCUAGUUGGUAAGGUAACGGCUUACCAAGGCAACGAUGCAUAGCCGACCUGAGAGGGUGAUCGGCCACACUGGAACUGAGACACGGUCCAGACUCCUACGGGAGGCAGCAGUAGGGAAUCUUCCGCAAUGGGCGAAAGCCUGACGGAGCAACGCCGCGUGAGUGAUGAAGGUCUUCGGAUCGUAAAACUCUGUUAUUAGGGAAGAACAUAUGUGUAAGUAACUGUGCACAUCUUGACGGUACCUAAUCAGAAAGCCACGGCUAACUACGUG
RNAcentral lists this ribosomal RNA (497 nucleotides) under uncultured bacterium. RNAcentral describes it as "partial 16S ribosomal RNA". It matches the Rfam family "Bacterial small subunit ribosomal RNA", at positions 28 to 507 of the family's 1533-position model. The record is from RNAcentral.